This 63-nucleotide transfer RNA is filed under the name Philolithus aegrotus. RNAcentral describes it as "tRNA-Ile". RNAcentral also lists the same sequence under 1 other name. Lineage: Eukaryota; Metazoa; Arthropoda; Insecta; Coleoptera; Tenebrionidae. The record is from RNAcentral.
AAUGAAGUGCCUGAAUAAAGGGUUAUUUUGAUAGAAUAAAUUAUGUAGAAUUUACCUUCAUUA